CCUACGGGAGGCAGCAGUGGGGAAUAUUGCGCAAUGGGCGAAAGCCUGACGCAGCGACGCAGCGUGAGGGACGAAGGCCUUCGGGUUGUAAACCUCUUUCAGCGGGGACGAAGCGAAAGUGACGGUACCCGCAGAAGAAGCACCGGCUAACUACGUGCCAGCAGCCGCGGUAAUACGUAGGGUGCAAGCAUUGUCCGGAUUUAUUGGGCGUAAAGAGCUCGUAGGCGGCUUGUCACGUCGGAUGUGAAAACUCGGGGCUCAACCCCGAGCCUGCAUUCGAUACGGGCUAGCUAGAGUGUUGCAGGGGAGACUGGAAUUCCUGGUGUAGCGGUGAAAAUGCGCAGAUAUCAGGAGGAACACCGGUGGCGAAGGCGGGUCUCUGGGCAACUACUGACGCUGAGGAGCGAAAGCGUGGGGAGCGAACAGGAUUAGAUACCCUGGUAGUCCACGACCGUAAACGGUAGGGCGGCGUAGGUGGUGGGGUAACCGUUACCUACCGUUCUCUGUGCCGUACGCUAACGACAUAAGUACGCCCCGCCCGUCGGGAGGUACGGGCCGGCCGAAGGACGAAAACCGUAACAAAGGAAAGUUAGUACGGCGUUGUAGAACGUUGCCGAACGGACGACCGACC
Molecule: ribosomal RNA, 631 nt
Filed under: uncultured bacterium
Lineage: Bacteria
Description: bacterial SSU rRNA
Rfam family: Bacterial small subunit ribosomal RNA (bases 1-539)
Source: RNAcentral